GCACCCUCCGUUCGGUACCUGUUGCCGCCACACAUGCGGGCACGUGCGCGCGCACACGCACACACACUGUGUACCUUCUGCCGACACACACACACACACACACACUCUGGUCAGGUUCUCCAGUUCAGCCUGAGACCUACCCCUGACAAGAUUCUCGAGUGUCUUACAGCAGACCUGUCAUGUUUGCGGAGGGCUCUCCACCCUUGGGGGGCUCCCAGGUCCCUGGGGAGGCGGCGGGCCCCUCCUCUCGGCCCUUCCAGACCCCCAUCCAGCAGCGCUUGUACCCCGAGAUGGUGAGAGCCCUGUGUCUGUCUCCCUUCAGGACAGUGAGCUGAUCAAGGGGAGCCCUGUGUCCUCACCCUAGUGCUCCCGGCACUGCACUGACAAGCUGUACCUGCUAGAUUGAAACUGGGCUUCAACUACCUCCAUUUUGACCUCAAACUCGCUAAUUGAGUAAAUUCUUCCUUCUAGUUUCCCUGUUAACUCAGGCAGAAAACGCUGCAGGCCAGCAUCCCGUGAUGGAAACAAAUCACCCCCUCAAGCAACAAGAACUGCCCUGAGCCAGCAAGACCAGGGUGACUGACUGCAAGGCAGUGAGCGAUUUGACCUUCGCUGCUCACUUGUGGCCCAAGUCGUGAUCUCCUGUUCAUCAGAUCGAGCCCCACUGCCAGCUCUGUGCUAACAGCGUGGAGGCCGCUUGGGAUUCUCUCUCUGCCCCUCCCGCACUCCCUCUCUCUCAAAACAAAUAAACUUUUAAAAAAUGUUUAAAAGAACAAAACAAACAAAAAGCAAAACAACAAAAGACCUGGAAGGUAUUUUCAGCCCUUUGGAGACAGUCUUUGAGAGGGUCCACUGUCUUCCGGGGGGUGGCCUCCCUGGAAUAAAUCCCAUUCUUGUUUCA
Long non-coding RNA from Leopardus geoffroyi (Geoffroy's cat), 901 nucleotides. RefSeq lists it as uncharacterized. Lineage: Eukaryota; Metazoa; Chordata; Mammalia; Carnivora; Felidae. The transcript has 2 exons. The record is from RefSeq and is a predicted model, not a curated record.